UUAAGCCAUGCAUGUCUAAGUAUAAGCAAUCUAUACCGUGAAACUGCGAAUGGCUCAUUAAAUCAGUUAUCGUUUAUUUGAUAGUACCUUACUACUUGGAUAACCGUGGUAAUUCUAGAGCUAAUACAUGCUAAAAACCCCGACUUCGGAAGGGGUGUAUUUAUUAGAUAAAAAACCAAUGCCCUUCGGGUCCUUGGUGAUUCAUAAUAACUUAACGAAUCGCAUGGCCUUGUGCCGGCGAUGGUUCAUUCAAAUUUCUGCCCUAUCAACUUUCGAUUGUAAGGUAUUGGCUUACAAUGGUUUCAACGGGUAACGGGGAAUUAGGGUUCUAUUCCGGAGAAGGAGCCUGAGAAACGGCUACUACAUCCAAGGAAGGCAGCAGGCGCGCAAAUUACCCAAUCCGACACGGGGAGGUAGUGACAAUAAAUACUGAUACAGGGCUCUUUUGGGUCUUGUAAUUGGAAUGAGUGACAAUUUAAAUCCCUUAACGAGGAACAAUUGGNNNNNNNNNNNNNNNNNNNNNNNNNNNNNAAUUCCAGCGCCAAUAGCGUAUAUUAAAGUUGUUGCAGUUAAAAAGCUCGUAGUUGAACCUUGGGCCUGGCUGGCGGUCCGCCUCACCGCGUGCACUGGUCCGGCCGGGUCUUUCCUUCUGGGGAGCCGCAUGCCCUUCACUGGGUGUGUCGGGGAACCAGGACUUUUACUUUGAAAAAAUUAGAGUGUUCAAAGCAGGCCUAUGCUCGAAUACAUUAGCAUGGAAUAAUAGAAUAGGACGUGUGGUUCAUUUUGUUGGUUUCUAGGAGUGUAGUAUGAAUCAGGGCAGCCUGAGAAAUGGACAAUCCGCAGCCAAGCCCUACCCUGCUCGCAGCCACGGGUGCAGUUCACAGACUAGACGUCGGUGGGUUCGCAGAACUUAAGAUAUAGUCGGUCAGCCCCUGAAAGGAGGCCUGAAGCAUGCAGAUACCGUCGUAGUCUUAACCAUAAACUAUGCCGACUAGGGAUCGGGCGAUGUUAUCUUUUUGACUCGCUCGGCACCUUACGAGAAAUCAAAGUCUUUGGGUUCUGGGGGAGUAUGGUGAAGG
This 1079-nucleotide ribosomal RNA is filed under the name Erioscyphella brasiliensis. RNAcentral describes it as "partial 18S small subunit ribosomal RNA". It matches the Rfam family "Eukaryotic small subunit ribosomal RNA", at positions 44 to 1136 of the family's 1831-position model. Lineage: Eukaryota; Fungi; Ascomycota; Leotiomycetes; Helotiales; Lachnaceae. The record is from RNAcentral.